Siniperca chuatsi (mandarin fish) is the source of this 11098-nucleotide RNA transcript. It is a transcript of the gene named ADP-ribosylation factor-like protein 4A, with no coding region annotated. The transcript has 5 exons. NCBI's taxonomy places the organism in Eukaryota, Metazoa, Chordata, Actinopteri, Centrarchiformes, Sinipercidae. The record is from RefSeq and is a predicted model, not a curated record.
GAUAGGGAAUCCUUUCAGCUAGCUGUCUCAAUGGAUCUGAGGAUAUGAUCACAGCGUGAAGCAAGAACACUGCUGACAUAUUGUCAGUUUGAAAUGGACUAAGAUUGUUUGUGAAGGCUGCAGCCCCUUGGAAUAAAAGUAGCCUGGUCAAUACUCGGUGACGGCUGAUCCUGCUCUCUAUACCAAGAUGGGGAACAGAUUAUCAGAUCAUCACUCCCUCUUCCCCUGCCUGCCGUCCUUCCAGGCUCUUCACAUUGUCAUUCUAGGACUGGACUGUGCAGGCAAGACCACUGUACUGUACCGCCUGCGCUUCAAUGAGUUUGUGAACACCGUCCCAACUAAGGGUUUUAACACGGAGAAGAUCCAAGUGUCACUUGGCGGUAGCCAACGGACAGCGUCCUUCCACUUCUGGGAUGUAGGUGGUCAGGAGAAACUGCGCCCCCUGUGGCGCUCUUACACACGUUGUGCUGAUGGCAUCGUGUUUGUGGUGGACUCGGUGGAUGCCGAGCGCAUUGAGGAGGCCAAGACAGAGCUGCACAAGAUCACACGGCUGGCAGAGAACCAAGGUGUGCCAGUGCUGGUGGUGGCUAACAAACAGGACCUGAGGAACUCACUCAGCCUGGCUGAGAUGGAAAGCAUGUUGGCUCUGGGCGAGCUCAGCACCGCCACACCCUGGCACCUUCAGGCUGCUUGUGCUAUCAUCGGUGAGGGACUGCAGGAAGGUGUGGAGAAGCUGCACGCCAUGAUCAUGAAGAGGAGAAAGAUGCUGCGUCAACAGAAGAAGAAGAGAUGAUGUGCUAAUGGGGAACUAUGAAAUGUGUGCUGGAUCUAAAGCUACAUAAGAACUACUGUGAGCUGCGUACAAUCUGCUGGUCCACUGUAACAAGUCAUUCAGCCGCCGCCCUUUGAAGUCUGACGGGCUGAGUUUGAUCCUUCUAGUGGAACUGUUCAGGUCGGCCAGAGUUUGGCUGCCACAGAGGACAGUGGGGUUGAUUUUGCCCGUGGACUUUGUAUGCCAGCAAUCCUGUCAACAACACGUGAUUCUAAAGGAAGUCCAGUAUUAUGCUAUACAGCAGUAGGCUAUGAAGUUUACACAGAACUCUUUAAUGUGGACAGUGAACUCUGACGUGUCUAUUUUACGUUAUUUGUUAAACUAUGUGCUGCUUAUCUGUUCAAAAACAAUCAAUCUUUAUAUUUUUAUUGUACCAAAGCUUAUGUUGAGAGUGCAGACAGUUACUGUUUGUAACAGUGCUGUAAGUUGUGUAUGUCAGUAUAGUGAGUAUUUUCUAUCCAUGAUCCAGAAGUUUACAUGAAGAACAAUGAUUCACUGAGAACAGGAUGGCCCUAAAAAAAUGUAAACACUGUUCAAAAUGGCUGUUAAUGAUGGAAACAAUGACUGUGUUGUUUGGUAGUGUACCUGCCUUACUGUGGCCAGAUGUUGAGAUGACAAGCCAAGAUAUUUUGCGCACAGAAACACCGAUAGCAGAAAAUUAGGUGUUGGUGUCAAUUCUUCCGAAUGAAAGAGGGUGAAGGCUUCUUUCUAGAGCAUGAAGUCAAUAGCAGAACCGGCACUGACAGUAUCCUGAAAAGACCAGAAUGCAGUGCAGACACAUACUGUGUUUUGAGUACAGAGCAUGGCUGGUUGUUCCUCCAUGCCAGGUUGGGACCUUUGUCGCAGUAAUUAAUGCAUUACCUCGACUACACGUGUACAGAUCGUACAACAGUUAAUGAUUUAAAGUAACACUAAAAUGAAAUAAAAUUUAAGAUUAUGAAUUAGACCAAUAAAUCUGCCCGGCCAAUUAUAUCUCGUCCCAUAUUAGCUAACUGCAGAUAUAUCAGUGUCAAUGUAUUUGUGUUUUUGCUGUUUGUUAAGUAAUGAGCAAUGUCAGUACAGAUAUGCCAAAGAUAUGAUUCAGGUAAUUUAGAGAAAACAUAAAAUGUUUCUUAAUGUUAAAAAGUGACUAUCAUAUAUCGAGUCGUUACUGGAUUUUUUAAACUCACAAAAUACCAAUAUCAUUAUCACCCUCAAAAAUCCAGUAUGAUCCAGGAUCCACAUUUUGAUCACCCACAAUACAUUUUGUACUUGUAAUGUUAGCUUUGCAAGCUAACGUUGGUUUGCUGGCCCUAAUAGCGAGCUGACAUUCCUUAGCUAACAGUGAUUAGCUCACUAGCUAACACUGGCGUAACUUGCCCCUGUUGUUGACAAUGAUUUGGCUCUCAUGCUUGGUAAACACUGUAGCUAUUGUUCUAUUGUCCAUUUAUUCCUGUGAAGCUAAUUUAAUGUCAUUUUAAUUGUCAACCACUGAUUCAGUUGAACAUUUUUUUUCUUCAGCUGUAUUAUCAGGUUAAGUUAUUUUCCAGUGAUUUUGACUUGUGAACAUGAAGUGUCAUGUCAUGUAAUGCAUUAUUAACUAUGAUAAAAGGCUCCGUAGUUGGCUGCUUAGCAUAAUCACAUAGGAGCAAAUGGAGGGAAAGUGGAUACACCAAAAUAGUAAAUCACAGUUAAUCACAAAGCUGAUGAUUUUAACAGUCCGAGAGCUGUCAGUCGUCUCUGCAGAAGGUGAGACUGAAGCUGUGACUUCAUCACCGACACAGCUCCUGGUAGAUGUGUCUUGUGUCCUGUUGAUUGACAGGCCCAGUUGGCUGCCUGACAAGCGUCCAUCCUCAGACAGGCUGGUGUCGGAGCCAGCCUCACCUAUAUCUGACGACACAGUCACAUGUUCAGCAUGUUUUGUAUGAGCAUAUUUAUGAUUUAUGUGUUUGAGCCACUUUGUUCACUUGGAAUAAAGCAACAAAAGGAGAGUGACAUUUUGUGAACCACUGAUUCAGCUCAACAAAUGUUUAGUUUGUUUCUCUUAUCAGUGUAGCUGUUGAUCAGUUCAGAGCACAGUCCACCGGGCUGCAGUUUGUUCUCCACUCGUUGGUUUAUGUGUAACUGACAAACUGUUCGCAGCAAAAGGUGAUAAAAGGCUGAGUCAGGGCUGCGUUCUAAGGAAAAAGAGGCCCUUCCUGGUUAAAUGGAACAUACAGACACCAGUAACCUUUGCAGCUACUGGAGCUGAUGUGUGCAGUCGUGGUCUUCUAGACUUUGUACCAGUUUAACCUCUCAGUGGGGUUUCUAGUGGGUCUGGAGGCUCUGUUAUGUGGCACACACACUGCCUCCUGGUCAACUAGCUGGGGAUAAUGGAGAUGGAAUUGGCACAUAUUGUAAUAGUGUCAGAGAUAAUGAAAUGUGUGGGCAGACUGGCUUCCCAGCAUGCUCAACGGAGUCCAGCAACCUCAAAAAGAAUUUCAAAUGGGGAGUUAUUUAUGAUACAUUUUAAUAAGCUUGUGACUGUUGGAGCUGUGCAUCAAUUGGCUGGAGGAUGAUCGAUAUGUUUUAGCACCGUGACAGAGGGGGCUUCAGGGGUCAACUGUUUCCAAAUAUCCACAUCAGCCUGACUUCCUUGAAAUGCACCCAGUCCUGGCCGGGACUUCUCUCGUCACAACGUCUCCAGGUUAGACAGGUAUAUAUUUGAAUGUAACCAUGGAUCUUUUUUGUAGAUCAAUGGAUUGAGCUAAUCAGUAAUUACAAUACUUCUCUCUCAGUGUAGGGGCCAGAGUAAGAUGGCUUUCCACUUUUGUCUUAUGUCCAGGGUUCAAUGAAGACCUAAAAAACCAUGAUAGAAAUGUUCUAUUAUGUUGAAAACCUCAUAGUAAAAGCUUCACACAAUAAUUACAUUAUGCUGAGAAGCUAGGGAUGAAAUACACGGAGAUUUCAGAUUGUGCAGACUUAAUAAUAUAAUAACCACUCCAAUUCAUGUCUUUACUUGUUGAUUCAGGCAUUUGUACAGGUGUGACAAUGGAUGUAUUAAAAGGGGAAGGGGCCCCACUGAGGCUGCAUAUGUACAGGGCCAACAGUUUUGUGCUACGUCAUGCACAUGUACAUCAGAUUGUUUUGAGUAUAAGCACAAGAGCCACAUAUACAAGUUUUACAUGCUGCCAAAAAUAAGGAUAAUAAGUCAGUGUUGUAGGCAUCAAGACAAGCAGUGUCAAAGUAGAUAUUUGAUUAAUUCCCAUAGAGAAAUUGGGCCUUGUGCCAUUCAAAUGUUUCCAAUUCAGCAGGGACGAUUGCAGGAAGGAACAUAUAACACAAAUUCAGCAAUGCAAAUGAUAAAAAGCAUCAAAACUGACAGGUAUCUACAAAAAAGCAGCUGACGGCAGCUUUAAGCCAAAACUUUCAGUGCUGGUAUCAGCCUUUAGAAACCCAUAGAGGCUGGACAACCCAUGUCCCAGGUCCUGCCAGUCCUCUGUAUGCUGUCUGAGCUCCAGUAUUAGAGCACAUCAUUAAAUAUUUCAAUAAAGGAAUGUGGAGCAGAUCUGGACUCUGAAACUUUUCAUUUUUACAGCAGCUUUUUACUUCCCCUGCUCCGAACUGUCAGACGCAAUAUAGCCUCAAUAUUCGCUCCAAAGAUAGAAAGUUAGAAACAACAGGAUCUUGCAGUUUUCCUCUCACUAACAUGUAUUCCAGUAUGCUUGUGUAUUUCAGUCACAUCCAGUUGUCCAGUCUUUGAUCCCCCACUUUCUUACAGCUGAGGAAAUGGACUUUGAAAGCACAACCAUCCAUCUGAAGAGUGUGUAUUCAGCAGGAGGGGUGUUGUGGGGUUUGUUCAAGCUGAUUGAUGACUGUGUGAACUGCUAAUCUGAUCCCUGUUCAGUGUGAGCUGUGAAGGGUGUAAACAUUUCGGUCAUCAGAGUGGAGGGCAGGAUAUGGUGAUAAGGGAAGAGGAACCACUCCCUGCCUGCCGCGGUUUCCUGAGAAGAGCCUGGCUGUCUGCCACUGCAACCCCACCCCCAACACCCGACCCUUAAACACCGAGUGGAGAGAUGGUGGGACACUACUGCCAUUGGAAGGAAGGCGACGAGGUGGAACAGCCCAGCGUCGCCGCCGUGAAGCACCAGACUCAAGCAAGCUGCAAUACACAAACACUCAAUUGGUCCAUUUAGAUUGGUCCUGCACCGGCUGUAAAGUGUUCUCCUGUGCCAUGCUUGCUUGAGGACGGUGCCACAAGAUUCGCUCAUGGCCACUUUCUGCAAAUAGUGCCCAGCUUAAUACUGAUGUUAGUUCAUGCACAGUAUGUACAGUAUGUUACAUGAGAGUUACUUGUUAGUUUGUUAAAAUAUAUUCUUAUAACAGAUAUUCUUGGUGAUAGAUUAAGGAUUUUUCAAUGAGGGAGAAGGAGUAGAUGCCAUUUUAAGAAUUUUAACAAGGUAAUUGAACUUUUGUGGGAAAAUUAUUACAAAUUACUCAAAGCAGAGUAUUUUUUAUAUAUCUUAAAACAUGCAACAUGGAACUUUAAUGAAUAACACUGUGCACUUGUUUGGUAGUAAUAUAACAUGAUGAUGAUUAUGAUGAUUAUUAUUAAUUAUUAUUGAAUAAUUUGUGUUCACUCUACAUAUAAAAAGCAAAUUAUUACAAGAAGAGUUUCAGUGUUAUGCUGAACACAAAAUAAAAUUCUGUGUUACAUUAAGUAAGUGUAUACUAAAUUUAACAAAUAAACUAAUACUGCAUUGGUAAAGGGAAGGGCUCUUGUUUUUAUAAAUAAAUAAAUAAAAUAUGUGUAGUUUUGUAUUACUAAAAUAUUUCCUAGUUCUGGCAGUAUACAGGAUCAGUCAUAGGCAGAUAUUGGGGUAGCUCUGGCACACCCAGACUUGGACCAGUAUAUGCCAGGUCUGCCAUUUUUGUUGGGGUGAUUGCGGCCCUAUGCCAGUUCAGUUUCAGCAGCUGGACCUGGACCAGUAUAGGCCAGGUCUGCCAUUUAGGUUGGGGUGAUUGCUGCCCUAUGCCAUUUGCCCCGAGGAGGAGACAACCCCUUCCUUCAUUCCCAAUCAUUUGAGUAUACAUCAGUGUGGUAAAGCCCCACAUCUUACUACUUGACUCUUAAACAAACCUAUCUGACUGAAGCUAGCUGAACUGACCAAAGGAACAAAGUUGAACUUGAAUUAACAGACCAAAAGAACCCUGAACUCUAACACACAGACAUUUUCUUUCAUUGUUGUGAAAUGUGUUAAGUAUAACCAUUUUCACGUGAUUUAUGUUAAUUUUUACUGUGAAGCACUGUUAAACAGUUAUUGUUGCACUGAAUGCAUUCCCGGUUGGUGGCAUUAGAAUGCCGGUUUAGAGAGGAAACUUUGGGGAAGAAGUGGACAACCAGAGUAGCUGUUGAUGGAGUGGACUGUAGCUGUCUGCUGGAUAGCCAUGGCCUCCUACCAAGAUAACUUAUCUGAGCACCCCAUUAAGCCCAUUUCUGACCUUCUUGAAGUCGAGGGAGUAAAUGGCCAGACUGUCUCAUAUCUGGGAUAUGUGGAGACCAACAUCAAGUUCCUCAAAGACGUCCUUGAAACCGAACCUGAACUGUCCACCUUAACUUAACUAUCCACUAACUGUGCCUGAUCUUCGUUCAAAUAGUGACAUUUCACUGAUCAUUGACACUAACACCCCUUGGGUAGCAUGGUGAGAGGCCCUUGUCUCGUUGGAAAUCGCUUCCCUAUGGCUAUCAGCAGGUCCUGAAAAAACUGGAGAUCAGAAAAAAAGAAACACAUUGUGGAAAAAUAGGCCUGAUGAAACUCAAAGGACGAACUCAGGAAAUUCUUCCAGCUAACCAGAAGGUGCUGCUUGAGGGUUUUGUGUGUGUCAACCAAGCAAAGUCUGAACAGUGGGUGCUACUUGAACAACCAACUAGCUUAUCUCUGCUAGGUGGCGUCAUUGUAGAUUGCUGCCUCACUCUGCCAAAGCAUGGUCCCUACAAAGUUCCUGUGCUACUCAGAAAUGAGAUGAGUCACGACAUUACUGCCGAGCUAGUUGCUCCUGAUUGUGUCAUUCAAAAUCCUAUGCCAGAAGAGAAAAGUAACCAAAAAAUCUCUGCUAACUGUUCCGCCCAGCAGCAGACUACAGACACAAAGCCUGCUUUGAGUUUCGACUUUGAAGAGUGGAAACAAAGAAUCACUCAAAAAUUGAACACUUUCUUCAAUGUCUUCUCACACCAUGACCUUGAUUUUGGUCCUGCGACCAAGACUCAACAUCAUAUAAAUCUUAAAGAUGAAACUCCAUUUAAACAGAGAUCUCUGCCCAUUCAGCCCCAGGAUUUUGAAGCAGUCGAAAAGCAUCUUCAAGCUCUUCUAGAUGCAGGCAUCAUCAGUGAAUCCAAGUCCCCGUUUUCAUCACCAAUUGUAAUAAUGCCGAAAAAGAAUGUAGAUGUGAGAUUAUGUGUGGAUUAUCGGAAAUUAAAUCAGCAGACCAUCCACCUAUGCACUGCCCAAUCUGGAGGAGUCCUUUUCAGCUCUUGCUGGAUCACAAUGGUUCUCUGUGAUGGACCUCAAGUCGGAGUAUUAUCAAAUCAAGAUGAAUGAUGCAGACAAACCAAAGACAGCCUUUGUGUGCCCCUUUGGGUUCUACCAGUUCAGUCGUAUGCCCCAGGAAAUCUCAAAUGCCCCAAGCACUUUUCAAAAGCUCAUGGAAAAGUGCAUGAAAGACAUCAAUUUGAAAGAGGUUCCUGUCUUCCUGGACAAUUUGAUCGUGUUUUCCAGCACACUUGAACGCCUGAGAGAAUACAGACUCAAGCUCUCACCGGAUUUUUUUUUUUUUCCAACCUCACACAUUGUGUCCCGGGAUGGAGUAAAAACUGAUCCUGAGAAAGUCAAAACUCCAGUCAUUCCUUGAAGGAAUAAUUCAGAGAGUCACCUCUUCACCUGUGCUUGGCUAUGCUGAUCCAAAGUUGCCAUACUUCCUUCAUAUAAACGCCAGCACCACUGGAUUCGGAGCCUCACUGUAUCAGGAACAGGAGGGAAACACACGCGUGAUUGCCUGUGCAAGUCGGAGUUUCUCCCACAGUGAAUCCAGAUACCCAGCUCAUAAACUGGAAUUCUUGGCUCUGAAAUGGGCCCUAACUGACAAAUUUAUAUUAUUAUCUGUAUGGCAACACCUUUACCAUUGUCACAGAUAACAAUACUUUAACUUACCUUCUUACCACAGCAAAGCUUGAUGCCGCUAGCUGGCAGCACUGUCUACAUACACCUUUGACAUUAAAUACAGAGCCAGCAAACAGAAUCUUGAUGGCGAUGGUUUAUCAAGAAGGCGUCACAGAGUGCAGAAGAAAGACAUGGUUUUCUAAGAAGAAUGCCAGCGCAUUGAAAAAUUCAGAUCUCAUCUCAUGUCAUCUGUAAAGGAUGUUGAGCCUCAACUCCUCCUUGCAGACAGCUACUGCAACCUGUCAGAGGCAUAUGGCUCUAAUGUAAGAUGAUUUGUUUUUUGGGGGCUGGUACAGUCUCUCACCAUGUCCCAAGCUGCCAUUCCUGCUGUCUUUGAGGAGGAAGAUCUCAACAAUGGCUUUCUGACCUCAUGCAGAUGCAAAGAGAUGAUCCUGUGAUUGGCAGGAAACAACUUACCUGCUGAUUUCAAAACGGACUCCCCUGAUCUCCACUUGGUUUUAAAGGAACUGAAAUGUCUUGAGAUUCAAGAUGAUCUUCUCUACUAAAAAUGCCUAUCUGGAACAGAGACUGUGAUGCAGUUAAUUCUCCCUGAGGUCCUCAGAUCCACUGUGCUUCAAAACCUUCAAGAUGAUAUGGGGCAUCUAGGGAUUGAGCACACACGAGCUUGUGAGCUUCUAUUGGCCUAAGAUGGCUGCAGAUAUUGAAAGGAAAGUGAAGCCCUGUGAGAGGUGUUGCUGUAGGAAAGCCCCGCCUGAUAAGGCAGCCCCACUGGUAAACACCAGACUACCAGGCCCAUGGAGUUAUGCUGUCUACAUGGAAAAGAAAAUGAAACAGAAUCACACUUACUGGAUUUGGAACAUGGAUGGGGAGGGGGGAGGAUAUAGCCAAGUAGAGAAUUGGUCUGUAAGAUUAUUUUAUUUCCAGUCUUAUUUUCUGUUUGCUAAAACAAUGUGUCAGUCAAACAAAGUUUGCUCAGACUUGGUUCUUAUUGGCUAUAUCAGGCAAUGCAGAUUUAUGAUUAGAGAGGGGAAAUAAGUCCCACCCCCCCAGGUAGAAAUUCGGCAGCACAGCUAGAGUGACAACAUGAGCAGAUGCGUGUUUCUCAAGUGGGUGGGUUAUACUGUCGUAAAACGUGAUACACAAAUGAUCAAAUACUUCAAAUUAAUAUUUAUAUUAAAUUAAAUGUAUGCGACAUUCACUGCCACUAAAUGUCGCACUAGAGCAAAAGCAUCUCAGACCAAAACAAAUGGGCACUAUGGCCCACCAAACUCCAUUGAGAAAAACAGUAAUUUUACUCAGGCCAUUACUCCGCUAUAUCUUUGCAUAGCAAAUAGUUGUUUGCUACUAUAUUAAUGUUCAAAAUCUCAUAUAGAGAACUCUUCAUUUAUUGAACCAAGUGAGUCUUAGCAACAUUUUAAAAGCAAUUUGGUAACAACAGGACAUUAUGUUUCAUUAUGUUCCUGCAGUGGAAAAGGGCCAUUUGUGUCAUUAGCAAGAUGUAGGUUGUUCAUAAAGUACUGUUGCAUACAACAAGCACUUAUAAUGUAUGCAUCUGUAAAUGUGGAUAGGUUAUUAGUGUGCCAUUGUGACUUUCACAGCAGCUAUUGUCUAAGCCAACCAGAUCAAAAAUAAUGUAUAAUGUUUAUCAGGCACAAAUCCGUAUUAUAUAGAAGUAAUGUAAUGUAAUAUGUCAUUUUUUAUUUACCUCAUACCUAUUGCUCCAUUUUAUAGCUCCUAAUUUUACUUUUAUUUAUUUUCCUGGUAGGAAUGAGCUUCCACAGCUCUGUUAUAAGAUACCUAGGCAUGUACUGUGUCUCAUAGAACCUGUUGAUGAAGAUUAAGUCAAACUGGGUGGUUGUUAUGAGCAGUAUAAGCAUUUUGUGUGUAGCAACAGAUUUUUAUUGUAAUAGUGUAUGGUAACUAAUUAUCCGCUUGUGUCUCAACUGAGCUCAGUUUGAAUGGAAUCACAGUUGGCCUCUGAUCCUGAUUUUCUUUUCCUGCUGGCCCAGUGUAAGCUUCUCUGCAGCUCAGUAAAGUUAACAAACCCUCCUUAGAUAAAACAGAAGAGCACAUGUCCUGCUCUGACUCUGUAGCUUAAAUGACUAUAGGCCCGUUGCCUUAACAUCUGUUGUAAUGAAAGUGUUUGAGCGUAUAGUAUGUAAACAUCUGUCAAUAGAUUGGCGGAUGAUUCUGUAUCUCUGUCUCCACUCCAUCUUGGGGCAUCUUGAGCCGCCUGCCACCUACGCUCGGGAACUGUUCAUGGACUAUAUAGCUCAGCUUUUAUUACAAUCAUCCCCACAAGGCUUUAUAACAAACCUUUACAACUAGGUUUCCAUUAGUCUCUAUGUCUGGGUCUUGGACUUCUUAUUGGGCAGAACACAGGUUGUCAAAAUCAACAAAAGAUUUUCAAACUCACUGACCAUCAGCACAGGCGCCCCUCAGGGGUGUGUCCUAUCACCACUGCUCAACUUGUCAUAAACCAAUGACUCUGUUUCACACUGACACUGUAAAGAUGACUAAGUUUUCUGAUGAUACAACUCGGCUUACAGAGACAGCAUACAUAAAAGAGGUCUCCUCUCUGGUCGACUGGUGCAGCAAUAACAAUCUGGAACUGAACAUCAACAAAACUGAAGAACAUGUGGUGGACUUCCAUAAAAACCAGGGAGAGCUACUACUGCUGGUUAUCAACAAUCAGGUGGAUUAUUUCAAAUUCCCCGGUACUACUAUCUCCUCCUCCCUGAAAUGGGAAGACUUCACCAUCAUCUCACCAAAGACUAUUCUUUUUAAGAUAGCUAAGGAAAUAUGGAGUGUCAAAGGUUGCAACGUUACAGAUCUACAGACAGGUAAUACAAAGUGUGCUCACCUUCUCAAUAACUGUAUGAUAUUGCAAUACAGUCCACGAGGAAAAACUGACAAAGUCGUUGCACUAUUAUAUUUAUUGUAUUAUGUAUUGUAUUGUUACUGUAUUUGUUGUACUGUAAUUGUGGCAGUGUUUUUUUGUGGUCAUUCCUUGUGUGUACUACGUGAUAAUAUGUGAUUAUGUUUUAUAUGUUAUGUUUUGUUGUUGUUGAGCACACCGAAACAAAUUCCAAUCAACUGCGGUUGAUAUGGCAAUAAAAUAUGAAUCUUG